AUAUUUGCGUCGCCGGACGCUAAAGCAAUUACCAAUUCUCUUAGGCCAACGUGAGAGUUGUUAAUUGCUUUUUUUUGAA
This 79-nucleotide non-coding RNA is filed under the name unclassified sequences. The record is from RNAcentral.